AUACGGAGGGUGCAAGCGUUAAUCGGAAUUACUGGGCGUAAAGCGUGCGUAGGUGGUUUGUUAAGUUAGAUGUGAAAGCCCCGGGCUCAACCUGGGAACUGCAUUUGAAACUGGCAUACUAGAGUAUAGGAGAGGAAAGUGGAAUUUCAGGUGUAGCGGUGAAAUGCGUAGAUAUCUGAAGGAACAUCAAUGGCGAAGGCAGCUUUCUGGACUAAUACUGACACUGAGGUACGAAAGCGUGGGUAGCAAACAGGAUUAGAUACCCUAGUAGUCC
Molecule: ribosomal RNA, 274 nt
Filed under: uncultured bacterium
Lineage: Bacteria
Description: partial 16S ribosomal RNA
Rfam family: Bacterial small subunit ribosomal RNA
Source: RNAcentral